This 1085-nucleotide ribosomal RNA is filed under the name Vibrio parahaemolyticus. Its description in RNAcentral is "partial 23S ribosomal RNA". It matches the Rfam family "Bacterial large subunit ribosomal RNA", at positions 438 to 1531 of the family's 2925-position model. Lineage: Bacteria; Pseudomonadati; Pseudomonadota; Gammaproteobacteria; Vibrionales; Vibrionaceae. The record is from RNAcentral.
CUGAAUAUGGGGGGACCAUCCUCCAAGGCUAAAUACUACUGACUGACCGAUAGUGAACCAGUACCGUGAGGGAAAGGCGAAAAGAACCCCUGUGAGGGGAGUGAAAUAGAACCUGAAACCGUGUACGUACAAGCAGUAGGAGCAGGCUUUGUCCUGUGACUGCGUACCUUUUGUAUAAUGGGUCAGCGACUUAUAUUCAGUGGCAAGGUUAACCAUCUAGGGGAGCCGUAGGGAAACCGAGUCUUAACUGGGCGUUCAGUCUCUGGAUAUAGACCCGAAACCAGGUGAUCUAGCCAUGGGCAGGUUGAAGGUUGAGUAACAUCAACUGGAGGACCGAACCGACUAAUGUUGAAAAAUUAGCGGAUGACUUGUGGCUAGGGGUGAAAGGCCAAUCAAACCUGGAGAUAGCUGGUUCUCCCCGAAAGCUAUUUAGGUAGCGCCUCGGACGAAUACUACUGGGGGUAGAGCACUGUUAAGGCUAGGGGGUCAUCCCGACUUACCAACCCUUUGCAAACUCCGAAUACCAGUAAGUACUAUCCGGGAGACACACGGCGGGUGCUAACGUCCGUCGUGGAGAGGGAAACAACCCAGACCGCCAGCUAAGGUCCCAAAUUACUACUAAGUGGGAAACGAUGUGGGAAGGCUCAGACAGCCAGGAUGUUGGCUUAGAAGCAGCCAUCAUUUAAAGAAAGCGUAAUAGCUCACUGGUCGAGUCGGCCUGCGCGGAAGAUGUAACGGGGCUAAGUAGUAAACCGAAGCUGCGGCAAUAUACUUUUGUAUAUUGGGUAGGGGAGCGUUCUGUAAGCGGUUGAAGGUGUGUGGUAACGCAUGCUGGACGUAUCAGAAGUGCGAAUGCUGACAUGAGUAACGAUAAAGGGGGUGAAAAACCUCCUCGCCGGAAGACCAAGGGUUCCUGUCCAACGUUAAUCGGGGCAGGGUAAGUCGACCCCUAAGGCGAGGCCGAAAGGCGUAGUCGAUGGGAAACGGGUUAAUAUUCCCGUACUUCUUACAAUUGCGAUGGGGGGACGGAGAAGGCUAGGUGGGCCUGGCGACGGUUGUCCAGGUUCAAGUGCGUAGGCUUAAGA